CCUACGGGUGGCUGCAGUGGGGGAUAUUGCACAAUGGGGGAAACCCUGAUGCAGCGACGCCGCGUGGGUGAAGAAGCGCCUCGGCGCGUAAAGCCCUGUUAGCAGGGAAGAAAAUGACGGUACGUGAAGAAGAAGCCCCGGCAUACUACGUGCCAGCAGCCGCGGUAAUAAGUAGGGGGCAAGCGCUAGCCGGAUUUACUGGGGGUAAAGGGGGCGCGGGCGGGGAUGCAAGAAAGGAGUGAAAGCCCGGGGCCCAACCCCGGAACUGCUCUUGGAACUGCGUGGCUAGAGUGCAGGAGGGGCAGGCGGAAUUCCUGGUGUAGCGGUGAAAUGCGUAGAUAUCAGGAGGAACACCGGUGGCGAAGGCGGCCUUCUGGACUGCAACUGACGUUGAGGCCCGAAAGCGUGGGGAGCAAACAGGAUUAGAUACCCGUGUAGUC
This 440-nucleotide ribosomal RNA is filed under the name uncultured bacterium. Its description in RNAcentral is "partial 16S ribosomal RNA". It matches the Rfam family "Bacterial small subunit ribosomal RNA", at positions 338 to 795 of the family's 1533-position model. The record is from RNAcentral.